Molecule: long non-coding RNA, 4090 nt
Organism: Oncorhynchus keta (chum salmon)
Lineage: Eukaryota; Metazoa; Chordata; Actinopteri; Salmoniformes; Salmonidae
Exons: 3
Source: RefSeq, a predicted model, not a curated record
UGAAGAAAAGUUGAUUCAGAAAGUUGUUUUUUUCGGCGACCCUAAUUAUAAUUCCCAGUCCUGAUCAGAAAUGGUUUUGUAGAACUAUAACCCUGUGCACACGCAAGUUGUUUUUUCGAGGGAUUGUGUUCAAAAGUAUUCCAGGCGGCCUCUGCUCUGCUGCCCUACUGCAGUAUGAUACACUGCAAUCCAGACUUCUUCUCUCUUAUCUAGGGCCUCCCCUUCACGAUAAAAACAGGUCUUAUUUCUAUUUAGAUAAGGAACUGCAGGUAAAGUCCCUUUCCCCGCCUGCCUUGGGACGAGACUGAUUGACAGUGAAGUGCGCCCCUUUUUAAUGGGCUUUCCGGCACCCAUUUACUUUUGGAUAAGGGAAUCGCCCACAUCGACUUCCCGUAACAAUAGACGGGAUAGCUGGCACAGUGGAGGGUAAACGUUUUUACAAGGCUGUGCUGCUGACAUGCCUGGGGGAGAUAUCUAUGCUUGAUCAUUUAGAACCUCCAAACCAUGUCAGACCCGGUGAUGAGAUCAGACCGCUCUCCCUGACCGUAGCUGACACCAAGUCAUUCUCAGUGAUACUCAAGGUCAAUCCAGCCACCCCGGAGGCGACAUCAAGGGCCUAGAUGUGUUUAUUAAGGCUCCCUUGGUAACAGCAAAGCAAAUAGCUGGCUCUGGUUUUGUUGCUUUUGGCUCCAUUUGUCUCUCUCCCUCUCUCUAUCUCUCUUGCCCCAUCUUCUUCACCCCCCCCCCCUCUCCUCCCCUGUCUCUAUUCCAGCUGCAGAUGGGACCAGGGAAACCCCAAGUCAAGACAGCCAGUCAACCAGUCAGUCAGUCAGUCAGCUCUAUAGAGAGCCCUGCUAAUCAGAACCCUGCAACAAUGUCGUUAUCCUGGCAAGGCCUGAAGUCCCAAGGACUCAACCCCAAUGACAUGAUGUAGCGAACUCAACUCAGCGAACCGCAUUAACGCAUUAUAUUAUAAUAUAUAGUAUGCGUUGUUUAAUGUUCACCCGUGGAUUAUAUUUCACACAAUGAUACAGAUGAGGUUAGACAUGGUGUACGAAAAAUAAUGACAUUUAUAUAGUGUAAUGUAUAUUGAAACAGGUGUUAAAAUGAAUCUGCCAUGUCUAUAAACCAUGUGAUAUCCUUUCAAUCCAGCCAAGAUCAGGCCAGACAUUGGAUCAGUCAUUCCGAUAUAUCACACUCUUUACCUUGAGAGAAUCCCUAGUGUGUGGUUCUGUGCUGUGAAUUUAAGUGAAAUAUGUUUCUUAUUGUUAACAUUCUCAAUGGGCCAGAACAAACGUUCUGACUAGUCGCUGCAUGUGUUGACGAGCGUGAGACAUUUGUUUGCCCAGCACUAAAAUGGUUUCCAUUGAGAUGAUCUGCGUGGCUCUGUUCUUUCAAAUGUUGUACUAACUGGGGAAUGUUUAAGGCAGCAGAGCACUUGUGAUGUGCGAAAUAGACAGAUGACUCUAAAUCUGAUGAUUAGCUGAGUAAACUCAGAGAUGUGUCACUUGUGCACAGGCGAGGGUUGAAAUCCAGCUGGAAUUCUGGCUGUGAAUGUGUCAUACCUGAAUGCAUUCUGACACACAACAAGAGAUUAGUUGUUCACUUCGCAGCAGUUCUUUACACUCCCGACAGUCCAACGCAUACCCGCGGCUUAUGAGGCGAUAGUGGAGAGACAUAAACAAUAGUACCAGAGUUUUGGAAGUGUUUAGAGAAUUGUUAGAGCGUAUCAUACCAGCUUCUCAGGAUAGACUGGUUAUGUCAUGUCGACUGGCACUGUAACUGUAGAUGACUUAUGAACCCAGGCAGGAGGACCUUGUUUUCAUUGAGGUGGUGUAGUAGUGUGUCUUAUUCUAAACCACCCAAAGAUAUGACGGAGGUAUUGAAUACACUUCCACAUCUGAAGCAAUUACAAGAUACAGUGGGAUGUCUUCUGGCAGACACUUCAAUGCAUGACUGGCCUUCGUCACCAUUCACACACCUGUCUGGGUGAUAACAGCAAAGCCAAUUUGUUUGCCGCUUGGCGAGGCUGUAAAGUAAACGACACUGGGAGAAAGUGUAACAGCAAGUCAUUUAUCCUCUUUCUCUCUCGCUCUCUCUGGCCCUUUUUCCCCUCUAUGCAAGCGGUAUGAAAGUAAUGUAGUCAAGAUAGAUUACAUGUCUCCUUAAAAUGUUAGUGUCUUGCCAACUGGUGUAAAAAAUAUGAGGGGGGAAAAAAGGGCUGAUAAUAAAAAGCUUUGUAAAGACAUCGAUAUGGCGUUAAAUAUCAUCCCCCUAAGAACAAAAACUUUGGACUGUGAAUGUUACUUUAUAGCGAUGACAAAUUGCAGGUAUCUCCUGUGGCUUUCUGUGAGCUUUCAGGGCGGCUUGCCAACUGGCUCGGUGCGACCUGUGUAUGACUGACUGCUACACCUGACCGUGCACAAUCCUCUGUGACUCCCAAUCAUCAGUAUGUCCCAGAGAUGACGGUGGCCCUCCAAUGAGCAUGCACUUACUAUUAGCAUGGCCCGCCAACUCUGUCUAAUGAGGUAGCCUAUCCAGUGAGCCCCUUAUCAUGUCCCUUCUGAGUAUGUGACAAACUGGAACCUGUCGCCUGCUGGUAGCCCCUGUCAUCCUGUAUAGGGGUUGAAAAUGGCAGAUUUUGUCAUUGAUAACCUCUUAGAUUGAAAUGCAGUGGCUGUACAGUAACAUGCCAUACAUAACGUCAGAGUUCGGGGUCUCCACUUCAAAGCGCUGUAUGGGUUUGACUGACAGCCGUUAUACACUUGAGCGCCGAGUGUGACAAGAAGAUGCCUCCAUCCCUCCCGCUAAGUGGGCUACUUUUGCUCAUUUGUUGUUGUUUGAGCAAGGAGAAAGGCAGUACAUUGAGAAGUGUCAAUGGGUUAUGAAAGAUAAGACGUUGAGGAUUGAACAUCUAUACGGCUUCGAUGCCGUACAAGCAAACCACACACGAGUCCAAAUGUGCGCUUCACAUUUCCAUAUUUUAAAACUCGUAUCAUUUACAGUAUCAACAUUUAUGAUCGAUAUGUUUGAUCCACAGGUACAAGAAUAACAUGCAAUAUACCCUGGGUUGGCCUGAACAGAAUGAGCCUGUUUGUCUUAUUGUGAAGAAAAUGAUUCUGUGGAACACGCACUUGAAUACACUCAUGACUCCAUUCUAUGCAGCACCAAAAUUACCAUCUAUGUGCCUUGUGAAAGCCUAACACCGUAAGAUCGUAUUUUAUAACUUAGCUACACCAUGUUGGCAAUAGAAUACGCUUUCAAAUGAUGCUCACCUGACCCAGAUUGUGAUUUAUAAUGGAGCGUUUUUGCAUUGCGUCAGCAAUCAACAGUAAUUGUGUGAUGGUGGGGGCGCAGGGCUGUUCCAAACAAAAAAAGACCAGUGUCCUUGCUUCAGUUCCUCAACGGCAAAGCCAGAAGAGCUAAAAAUAAAAGAACCUUACAGUUGAAGGCUCUUUCCUUGAGUCAUAAAACUGUGGCCAGUUAGACACCAGUUAAACCUCUCACUCACCCGUGUGAUUGUUUUCUCUUAUCUUGUCUUGUACCCGCUCCAACGUGUCAAUUCAUAUUUGGAUUAUUCUACUGAAUGUAUCUAGAGUAUCUUCAGAUUUCAUUUUGAAGAUGAAUGAACUAACUUGUAAGUUGCUCUGGAUAAGAACAUCUGCUAAAUGACUCAAAUGUCACGUGAAUGUAAAAAUGUUAUUGACAAAUGCUGUGAAGAUCUACAGUAAGUGUGAAAUGUACAUAAAAUCAACAGCCUACUGUUUGGAUUCAGUCUUCUGUCAGGUGAACUGUUGUUGAUCAGACCAAAGGCGAGGACACAACAGCUCACAUGACAGAAGACUGAAUUCAAACAGCAGGCUGUUGAUUUUAUGUGCAUUCGACAUUGUUUUCUUCCUAAAUAGUUCUACUAUACAACUCACAGUUAGGCAUUGAAAGCACUAAAAAUCUGCUGUGGUGUAGGCCUACGUUUGUGCCCCCUCUGUGAAAUUUCAGUUUUGAAAUUCUUAAGAUUAAUACACCUGUAAUGAUGUGCGCUGAGAGUCGGGAAGCAAGUUCAGGGAGUGAGUGUUUUAAUCAAAUAAAUGGU